AGAUCGUUGGUGUAGUGGUAACACGACAAGCUCCAACCUUGUAGAUGUGGGUUCGAUUCCUACACGGUCUG
Molecule: transfer RNA, 71 nt
Filed under: Caudoviricetes sp.
Lineage: Duplodnaviria; Heunggongvirae; Uroviricota; Caudoviricetes
Description: tRNA-Trp
Rfam family: tRNA
About the family: Transfer RNA (tRNA) molecules are approximately 80 nucleotides in length.
Source: RNAcentral